Non-coding RNA from Lepidothrix coronata (blue-crowned manakin), 513 nucleotides. Lineage: Eukaryota; Metazoa; Chordata; Aves; Passeriformes; Pipridae. The record is from the annotation of a RefSeq genome assembly.
AUGGCCGGAAACGACAAAAAAAUGCCGUUUUUUGAUAAAAGGAACUCCGGAAAAUCCGGGGCUGCGGNUUCUCCCCCCGCAGGGCUGCGGGCGGCCGUGACCCUGGUGGAGUCCGGGGGCGACCUCAAGGCCCCGGGGGAGUCCCUGCGGCUCCUCUGCCGCGGCUCCGGCUUCACCUUCGGCAACCACGGACUGUACUGGGUGCGCCAGAGCCCCGGGAAGGGGCUGGAAUUCGUUGGUGGGAUCGACGCUUUUGGUACCACCUUCUACGCGCCGUCGGUGAAGGGCCGGUUCACCAUCGCCAGGGACAACGGGCAGAGCUCGGUGACGCUGCAGAUGAACAACCUCAGGGAGGAGGAUUCCGCCACCUAUUUCUGCGCCAAAAGUUCUGGUGCUGGUGUUUAUGGUGUCUAUGGUAUCGACCCCCUUGGCGGGGUCCCCACAUGUCCCCAAACCCCAGACCCUCCCCCCAAACCUCCACCCUUUAGACCCAAAUCUCAGCCAUUGAUCUAA